GGAUAACCUACCCUUAGGACUGGGAUAACCCUGGGAAACUGGGGAUAAUACCGGAUAGGCAAUUUUUCCUGGAAUGGUUUUUUGUUUAAAUGUUUUUUCGCCUAAGGAUGGGUCUGCGGCCGAUUAGGUAGUUGGUUAGGUAACGGCUUACCAAGCCAUUGAUCGGUACGGGUUGUGAGAGCAAGAGCCCGGAGAUGGAACCUGAGACAAGGUUCCAGGCCCUACGGGGUGCAGCAGGCGCGAAACCUCCGCAAUGUGAGAAAUCGCGACGGGGGGAUCCCAAGUGCCAUUCUUAACGGGAUGGCUUUUCAUUAGUGUAAAGAGCUUUUGGAAUAAGGGCUGGGCAAGACCGGUGCCAGCCGCCGCGGUAACACCGGCAGCUCUAGUGGUAGCAGUUUUUAUUGGGCCUAAAGCGUCCGUAGCCGGUUUAAUAAGUCUCUGGUGAAAUCCUGUAGCUUAACUGUGGGAAUUGCCGGAGAUACUAUUAGACUUGAGACCGGGAGAGGUUAGAGGUACUCCCAGGGUAGAGGUGAAAUUCUGUAAUCCUGGGAGGACCGCCUGUUGCGAAGGCGUCUAACUGGAACGGUUCUGACGGUGAGGGACGAAAGUUAGGGGCGCGAACCGGAUUAGAUACCCGGGUAGUCCUAACUGUAAACGAUGCGGACUUGGUGUUGGGGGUGGCUUUGAGCUGCUCCAGUGCCGAAGGGAAGCUGUUAAGUCCGCCGCCUGGGAAGUACGGUCGCAAGACUGAAACUUAA
RNAcentral lists this ribosomal RNA (758 nucleotides) under uncultured archaeon. RNAcentral describes it as "bacterial SSU rRNA". It matches the Rfam family "Archaeal small subunit ribosomal RNA", at positions 102 to 859 of the family's 1478-position model. The record is from RNAcentral.